UUGCACUGUUCGUAACCUGUUAACAGUAUCCUUCUGAUAAUGGGUUCCAUUCCAGUGCUACAUGAUACCCCCAAGAUAAUAGAAGGCUGGCUGUUUGUCUGCCUGUCCCCUUUAUUAUGGGGGACAUGA
Molecule: small nucleolar RNA, 129 nt
Filed under: Mesitornis unicolor (brown roatelo)
Lineage: Eukaryota; Metazoa; Chordata; Aves; Mesitornithiformes; Mesitornithidae
Source: RNAcentral